This 104-nucleotide ribosomal RNA is filed under the name Nitrososphaerales archaeon. RNAcentral's name for it is "partial 16S ribosomal RNA". It matches the Rfam family "Archaeal small subunit ribosomal RNA", at positions 4 to 99 of the family's 1478-position model. The record is from RNAcentral. Lineage: Archaea; Thermoproteati; Nitrososphaerota; Nitrososphaeria; Nitrososphaerales.
CCGGUUGAUCCUGCCGGACCCGACUGCUAUCGGAUAGAGAUUAAGCCAUGCGAGUCGAACAUUUCUUAACUAUGUAAGAAGUGUGGCAUACGGCUCAGUAACAC